This 484-nucleotide ribosomal RNA is filed under the name uncultured bacterium. RNAcentral describes it as "partial 16S ribosomal RNA". It matches the Rfam family "Bacterial small subunit ribosomal RNA", at positions 30 to 507 of the family's 1533-position model. The record is from RNAcentral.
AUUGAACGCUGGCGGCAGGCCUAACACAUGCAAGUCGAGCGGAUGAAGGGAGCUUGCUCCUGGAUUCAGCGGCGGACGGGUGAGUAAUGCCUAGGAAUCUGCCUGGUAGUGGGGGAUAACGUCCGGAAACGGGCGCUAAUACCGCAUACGUCCUGAGGGAGAAAGUGGGGGGUCUUCGGACCUCACGCUAUCAGAUGAGCCUAGGUCGGAUUAGCUAGUUGGUGGGGUAAAGGCCUACCAAGGCGACGAUCCGUAACUGGUCUGAGAGGAUGAUCAGUCACACUGGAACUGAGACACGGUCCAGACUCCCACGGGAGGCAGCAGUGGGGAAUAUUGGACAAUGGGCGAAAGCCUGAUCCAGCCAUGCCGCGUGUGUGAAGAAGGUCUUCGGAUUGUAAAGCACUUUAAGUUGGGAGGAAGGGCAGUAAGUUAAUACCUUGCUGUUUUGACGUUACCAACAGAAUAAGCACCGGCUAACUUCGUG